This 419-nucleotide long non-coding RNA is filed under the name Phoenix dactylifera (date palm). Its description in RNAcentral is "long non-coding RNA (PDAC_LNC004123)". Lineage: Eukaryota; Viridiplantae; Streptophyta; Magnoliopsida; Arecales; Arecaceae. The record is from RNAcentral.
UGAGAGAGAGAUCAAGCAAUAUUUUCGCGUCUCGUUGCAGUGAAACUUGGUGCAGGGGGCUCCCGUUCUAGGUUUCUAUUAAUGAUCAAGAUAAGAGCCAAGUUUAAAACUGAACUUAUUUAGUUUGCAAAAAAAUUAAUUUUAUUAAAAUAUUUAUUUAAAAAAUUGAUAUAUAUCUAAAAAAUAAUUUUUGUAUAUUUAAUUCAUCGAAAAAAUAUAGCAUAUUUUAAAAUAAUUUAUAUUUAGCUAAGCAUAAAAUAUUAUGUAAAUAUCUGUUGUAUCUUUAAUAAAGUUAAAAAUCUUAUUUUAUUCUAUUUAAAACUUUAAAAAUAUUUUUUAAGAAAAUAUUCUAAUUUUCAGCUGAUAAAAAUUAAAAUUUCUAUAUUUCAUAUAAAUUUUUUCUACAAAAUAUAAAAAAU